GGUUAGAUACCCUAGUAUAAAGGGUUAAGUGAAUUGGUAUAUUUUGACAAUUAAAGAGUUUGGCGGUUAUUGAAUGAUUUAGAGGAGCUUGUCUUAAAUUGAGAAUUUGCUCUUUAUAUUUAAAUGAUUUGAUGUUUAUUCAUCUCCGUUAUUAGAUAUAUUUUUGUAGAAAAAUUGAUUUUUUAUUUCAGGUCAAGAUGUAGCGUAUUUUAUAUAGGAUUAGCUACAUUUAUAUAUUAAUUGGAAUUAAUAGGGAUGUCUAUGGGGAAAGUGAAUUUGAUUGUAAUGAUAAUUAAAAUGUUUUUAUGAAAAAAUGUUGAUAAUGUACAGAUUGCCCGUCACUUCUGUUGUUGAGAUAGAAUAAGUCGUAACAUAGU
RNAcentral lists this ribosomal RNA (377 nucleotides) under Magnispina sp. MZSP 73207. RNAcentral's name for it is "partial small subunit ribosomal RNA". Lineage: Eukaryota; Metazoa; Arthropoda; Arachnida; Opiliones; Gonyleptidae. The record is from RNAcentral.